GUUGUAGCUCAGUGGUAGAGCAUGCUUGCCUUGCAUGCAUGGGGCCCUGGGUUCGAUCCUCAGCAUCACA
RNAcentral lists this transfer RNA (70 nucleotides) under Marmota monax (woodchuck). RNAcentral describes it as "tRNA.Ala". It matches the Rfam family "tRNA", at positions 6 to 65 of the family's 71-position model. Rfam says of the family: Transfer RNA (tRNA) molecules are approximately 80 nucleotides in length. Lineage: Eukaryota; Metazoa; Chordata; Mammalia; Rodentia; Sciuridae. The record is from RNAcentral.